GCAGGGGUAGUAGAAUGUUGAAGUAUGGGUGCUUUAGGAGUGCUUGGUGGUGUGAAUGCCCCCCUGUG
This 68-nucleotide transfer RNA is filed under the name Graffilla buccinicola. RNAcentral's name for it is "tRNA-Leu". Lineage: Eukaryota; Metazoa; Platyhelminthes; Rhabdocoela; Graffillidae. The record is from RNAcentral.